This is a long non-coding RNA of Oncorhynchus tshawytscha (Chinook salmon), 1596 nucleotides long. NCBI's taxonomy places the organism in Eukaryota, Metazoa, Chordata, Actinopteri, Salmoniformes, Salmonidae. The record is from Ensembl.
UCCUGACCUCAACCCCAUCGAACACCUUUGGGAUGAAUUGGAAAUGCCAACUGUGAGCCAGGCCUAAUCGCCAAACAUCAGUGUUCGACCUCACUAAUGCUCUUGUGACUGAAUGGAAGCAAGUCCCCACAGCAAUGUUCCAACAUCUAGUGGAAAGCCUUCCCAGAAGAGUGGAGGCUGUUAUAGCAGCAAUGUUCCAACAUCUAGUGGAAAGCCUUCCCAGAAGAGUGGAGGCUGUUAUAGCAGCAAUGUUCCAACAUCUAGUGGAAAGCCUUCCCAGAAGAGCGGAGGCUGUUAUAGCAGCAAUGUUCCUACAUCUAGUGGAAAGCCUUCCCAGAAGAGUGGAGGCUGUUAUAGCAGCAAUGUUCCUACAUCUAGUGGAAAGCCUUCCCAGAAGAGUGGAGGCUGUUAUAGCAGCAAUGUUCCAACAUCUAGUGGAAAGCCUUCCCAGAAGAGUGGAGGCUGUUAUAGCAGCAAUGUUCCUACAUCUAGUGGAAAGCCUUCCCAGAAGAGUGGAGGCUGUUAUAGCAGCAAUGUUCCAACAUCUAGUGGAAAGCCUUCCCAGAAGAGUGGAGGCUGUUAUAGCAGCAAAGGGGGGCGACCAACUCCAUAUUAAUGACCAUGAUUUUGGAAUGAGAUGUUGGAUACGUAUAUAUAUAUAUUCUCAUAUUCACUGCUUUUUAUUUAUGAUUAUCCCAGUGGGUGUGUGUCUGUGAUUGGUUGUCGUUCCAGGUGGGUGUGUUGGUGAUUGGUUGUCGUUCAAGGUGUGUGUUGGUGAUUGGUUGUCGUUCAAGGUGUGUGUGUUGGUGAUUGGUUGUCGUUCAAGGUGUGUGUUGGUGAUUGGUUGUCGUUCAAGGUGUGUGUGUCUGUGAUUGGUUGUCGUUCAAGGUGUGUGUCUGUGAUUGGUUGUCGUUCAAUGUGGGUGUGUUGGUGAUUGGUUGUCGUUCAAUGUGUGUGUCUGUGAUUGGUUGUCGUUCAAUGUGUGUGUCUGUGAUUGGUUGUCGUUCAAUGUGUGUGUCUGUGAUUGGUUGUCGUUCAAUGUGUGUGUCUGUGAUUGGUUCUGUGUUUUCUCCAGCGUCUGUUCCCUCAGUGAGUGUGUCAGGGUCAGGGACCGAGCACAGUGACAGCAACGGUCAUGGAGCCCCCAACCUUGACCCCAGCUCUAACCCCAGCACAGCACUGCUGCCCCCUGCUGACGAGAGGCUGUUUGAAGAGGUGAUAGUUCUCCCUGCAGACUCCAGACUUCCUCCUCCUGGUGAUGAAGAGGAGGAAGAAGAGCAGCUUGUCAUUGCGUUCCAGGAGAACGGUAUCGUCAUGCCUCUGAUUGGAGGAGUGGUCGACACCCCGAUACAACACACAGCAGAUGUUGUCUGAUGACUGGAAAAGACAUGGUGGAGGGGGAGAUGGUGGAGGACACAUGGUGGAGGACACGUGGUGGAGGACACAUGGUGGAGGACACAUGGUGGAGGACACGUGGUGGAGGACACAUGGUGGAGGACACAUGGUGGAGGACACAUGGUGGAGGACACAUGGUGGAGGACACAUGGUGGAGGACACAUGGUGGAGGGGGAGAUGGUGGAGGACACAUGGUGGAGG